This 3981-nucleotide long non-coding RNA is filed under the name Homo sapiens (human). RNAcentral describes it as "HSALNT0316006". Lineage: Eukaryota; Metazoa; Chordata; Mammalia; Primates; Hominidae. The record is from RNAcentral.
ACUGUGCUGGAUGCUUGGCUAGAUAAUAUGCUGUCCUUCUUCUGGUCUCUGUAUUUUUGUGUGUGUAUGUUUUAAGAAGAUGACAUUCUUCAACAUUGUAAGGUCAGUAAUCUGACAAAUGUAAUUUAGUAGUAUUGGGGCUCGGAAAAUGACACCCCAAAACAUGCUGAGAGCUUUGAACAAAGGAGAUUAAAAUGCUCCAGAACGAAGCCUCAGAACCAAUGUUUCUCUCUGACCUUCUGCUCCUUCCACAACUUCUCUGCUGAAGUGCAGGGAGGUCCUUUCUCUGAAGUUCCCUUAUCUGACUGAGGGAAGGAAGUUCUUCCAAAAGGAACACAAUGGUCUCGAAUCCUUUCCCUAGGAAACUCAUUAAGCAACCAGGAAAGAUUAAUCACCACAGAGGAGAUUAAUUCAUCACUGCAGGCAGACAGGCUAUCACCUAUUCUUUUGGAUGCAGCUCUAAAACAACUUUUAUCUGAAUAGUAAGACAGCCUUUGCUCAUCAUUUGGUUCCUCCCCUUUCCCUCCCCUAACUUGUUGCUACUUCCCCCCAAUGCUUCAGGUUCCCAUUCCUUUAUGCUAUUUACGUUUCAGCUAUCUGGCCCUUCUCAGAGUCUCACAUUUUAUUUGGCUCCUGUGCAUAUUAAUAAAUCUGUAUGUCUUUUCUCCAAUUAAUCUGUUCAUUAUCAGUUUAUUUCAACAGCCUCAAUUGACUCUUCAGAAGGUUAAACUUUUGUAGGCUAUUUUCCCCUUAAAAUGAACUAUAUUUCAUCUUCCCUCUUUAGGCCUACUUGUUGGUAAGCUAUAGAACAAGCUUGUCCAACUUGUGGCCCAUGGACCACAUGUAGCCCAAGAUGGCUUUGAAUGGGGCCCAACACAAAUUUGUAAACUUUCUUAAAAUAUCAUGGGUUUUUUUGCGAUAUAUAUAUAUACAUUUUAAAGCUCAUCAGUUACUGUUAUGGCCCAAGAAAAUUCUUCUUCCAAUGAGGCCCAGGAAAGCCAAAAGAUUGGACUCCCCUGCUAUAAAGUUUGGCUUUCAUGGAGGUAGUGGGGGAGGUGGUCCCAAAAUAGACCACUGAUUUGCCAAAUUUAAAAAUUAAGGGUUUUCAUAUUCAGAACCAAAAUUACUGUAAAGACUGACCUCACUGGUGAUGUCACAAUCACAUUUCAAAAACAAUAGAGUAUUUCCUGUGAUUUAAAUUCUAAAUCAAAAUUAUUCAUAGGCCAGUUCUAGAUUCUUUUGCUGUUCCCUUUCCCUCUACGGCAAGUCUUGCCAACAGGAUGAGACUCCCUUGUCAACUAUGAUGAUUAAUUUUACGUGUCAAUUUGAUUAGGCCACAGAGUGCCAAGAUACUUAGUCAAACAUUAUUCUGGGUGUUUCUGUGAAAGUGUUUUAAGAUGAGAUUAACACUUAAAUCAGUGGCAUGGAUAGACGGGAUUGCUUCCAUCAUGUUGACUUGAACUGAAACUUUGGCUCUUCCUGGGUCUUGAGCCUACUGGCCUUUGAACUGGAACAGCAACAUUGGCUCUCCUGGUUCUCAGACCUUUGGACUCAGACUGCAACUAAACCAUCAGCUUUCUUGGGUCUCCAGCUUGCCAGCUUACCUUGAAGCAGAUCUUGGGACUUAUCAGCUUCUGUAAUCACUGCUUCAAACAAACGACAGAGGAUAUCACAAGGACAUGGGAGCCAGCUCAAUAGUUUCUACUGACCAAAUCUAAGGCAACUUGAGCAUCAAAGUAAGUAUGGUAAAAUUAAUUUUAAAAAAAACAUUAAAAAGCAUGAGUUUAUAACAAUAACAGAUGUAAAAAUGAGAUGGAUAUAGAUGGAUGAAUGAAUGGAUGGAUCAGGGGAGAAAGGAGGGCUCCUGCUUACAAUAAAAUAUUAAUUGCCAACUGGUACAUGUGGAAAGAAUGCUGAAGUUGAAGACUGAAUAAUCAAGAAUCAUCAAUGCAUGCUAAAUCCUGGAUGAAAAUGUUGUUAGCAUGGACUUAAGAGAGUCUCCCACAGGUUGCUUAUUAAUCGCAAUGUAAAACACAGUAACUAUACAUUGGAGAAACUGAACACUACCUUGAUCAGGUGAUCAAAAUUAGCAUCACCAAUAAGACAGACAUUGUGUGCCCCCAAUAUCAUACCAUGAUGACAUAGUACCAUCAACAGAGUGUUCUCGCCAAGAAUGCAUACCUUAAAUCCGAUUCAAUGCUAUAAACGACCAAGGUGGCCAUGGAAAUGAUCCACAGUAAAGGAGACUUAAGGAAGGACAAAUGAAAAAGCAAACAAUAAAAUGAAGAGGGUAAAAUCUGAAUAAUAGUUGAAUUUUAAAGGACAUACAGAUGUUCUUUGCACUAUUCUUAUGCUUGCAAAUUUUCUGUAAAUUUGAAAUUAUUUCCAUAUAAAACGUUUAAAUCAAUUAAGACAGCUCAAUAACAAGUUCUCAACCUGUUUUGCCUGAUUAGGCUUUUAAAAGUCAUUUUAAAAAAACUGACUCUACAUUUUUUACAAGUGUGGAAAGACAGUAUUUUAAACAUCUAAAACAGCAAUAAUCUCCAUGAUCCUUUAAAAUGAGUACAGUUAGAUUUAUGAAAAAACAAUCACAUUGCUCUAAUUUCUCUCAUUUUCCUGUGGACCAGGGAGAGGUUUCUCAAAUUGGUGUUUGGGAACUAAUAUCCCAAACAAGACGUAUUUUCAGUAAUAGAGGGAGUACAGUUCAGUGGAAAGAACAUGGAAUCUGGACACAAAUUUAAACUGAGGCCCUAGCAGUUACCAGCUGUGUACCCUAAGCUCUGUCAGUUUCCUCAAUUGUAAGAUAGCUAAAUCAUAGGACUGUUAAGAGAAUUAUGUAAACGUAACUAGUGCUUGACACAGAGAAGGUGCUCAACAAAUUUGUUUUCCUCCUCUUCCUUUCCUCUGAAGCCACUUUUCUGUUCUCUGGAAAUGAAUCUAACUGGGGCCACUCUGGCCUUCUUUUAACACAAACUCAGCCCUGUUGGAAGGAUCACAUAAGAAACUAAAGUACUCUAAGAAUAAGCCUCCUUUGUGGAGGAAUAUUUCAUGAAAACAGAAGCCAGAGAUAAUGGAUAGUAGAAUAAUAUGGAAGGCUUAUAAAAACAGGUGAUUUGAGGCAUGUCUGGUAACUUGAGUUCUUUUAAAGGAGGGUAAAGACAGCAGAAGGAGUGAUGAUGUUAGAUAAUGUUAGAAAUGAUGUUUAAAAAGUCUGCUGCAAAUAAAACAGUGUCUUUUUUCUUCAUAUAUCCACAAGUCUAUUCGGCAAAUGAUCACCCAUCUACCUCCAAGAGUGAAUGAUAGUUUAUGCCAAAAAUAAAUAAAGAUCAGCAUUCUAUUUGUCUUACUGGCUACAUAUCUUUGAAGAAAAAAAAAAAUCAGGUCAGUAAAAUGUUCAUUAAUUAAGAGAUUUCAUCCAAUUUUCAUCUAAUUGCCUAUUUUUUUUUGCUCCUUUCAACAUAUUUUCAUUUACAUUUAACAGGAUGUUCUACUUUUAUGGUGCCAAUGAUAAUUCUUUAAAAAUCUGUUUUUUAAAAUGGAGAAAAAAUAAAAUAACUUGAGUUGCAUAACAGCAAAAAAAUAUACUGUCAACAGAAACUUAGUUUAACGUCUAAAAUCUUUAUAAAAGAUAAGCAAAUUCUGAUUUUUUCCCUUUAUUUUAUAAUUGAAAAAUGAAACCACUUAACAUGAACACUUGAUACAUAAUUUCCUUAAAACUUCUCUAUGGUGAAAUAAAACUGUACCUAGUUGAAGAGUGUAUAUAAUAUUAACACUCAUGACAAUUUCAAUCCAACCGUUGAUAUAGCUUCAAAUUACUAUUAAUUGUGGCUAUUUUUUGGGAAAAAAUUGUGCAAAGCUUAUGAGGGCCCAGUAUACGAAAGGCUUAAUUUUUAAGAGUCAAAUCUACAUUUGUCACAAGAGUUCAAAAAGUGGCAUUAUAGUGCAAAAACACUAGAAAAUGCUAUCUCUUACUCAUAAGUC